UACGUAGGGGGCUAGCGUUGUCCGGAAUCAUUGGGCGUAAAGAGCGCGUAGGCGGCCAGACAAGUCCGGUGUGAAAGUCACAGGCUCAACCUGUGAAUGCCGCUGGAAACUGUCUGGCUAGAGUCCGGAAGGGGCGAGUGGAAUUCCUGGUGUAGCUGUGAAAUGCGCAGAUAUCAGGAGGAACACCGGUGGCGAAGGCGGAUCUCUGGGCCUUACCUGACGCUCAGGUGCGAAAGCUAGGGGAGCGAACAGG
This 253-nucleotide ribosomal RNA is filed under the name uncultured bacterium. Its description in RNAcentral is "partial 16S ribosomal RNA". It matches the Rfam family "Bacterial small subunit ribosomal RNA", at positions 524 to 776 of the family's 1533-position model. The record is from RNAcentral.